GAUGAACGCUGGCGGCGUGCCUAAUACAUGCAAGUCGAGCGAACAGAUGAGGAGCUUGCUCCUCUGACGUUAGCGGCGGACGGGUGAGUAACACGUGGAUAACCUACCUAUAAGACUGAGAUAACUUCGGGAAACCGGAGCUAAUACCGGAUAAUAUAUUCAACCGCAUGGUUCAAUAGUGAAAGACGGUUUUGCUGUCACUUAUAGAUGGAUCCGCGCCGCAUUAGCUAGUUGGUAAGGUAACGGCUUACCAAGGCAACGAUGCGUAGCCGACCUGGGGGGGUGAUGGGCCCCGCUGGAGCGGGGACACGGUCCAGAGGCCUCCGGGAGGCGGCCGUUGGGACUCUUCCGCGAUGGGGGGGGGAAUAACGGAGCAACGGCGCGUGAGUGAUGAAGGUCUUCGGUUCGUAAGACGCUGUUAUUAGGGAUGAAAAAAGGUGUAAGUAGCUAAGAAGGACUUGACGGUACCUACUCAAGAAGCGACGGCUAACUACGUG
RNAcentral lists this ribosomal RNA (497 nucleotides) under uncultured bacterium. Its description in RNAcentral is "partial 16S ribosomal RNA". It matches the Rfam family "Bacterial small subunit ribosomal RNA", at positions 28 to 507 of the family's 1533-position model. The record is from RNAcentral.